Molecule: ribosomal RNA, 433 nt
Filed under: uncultured bacterium
Lineage: Bacteria
Description: partial 16S ribosomal RNA
Rfam family: Bacterial small subunit ribosomal RNA
Source: RNAcentral
AACGAACGCUGGCGGCGUGCCUAACACAUGCAAGUCGAACGAGACCUUCCUGUUUUUUUGCGCACUUGUGCUUAAGGCGUGGUAACUUGCCCUUAGGUUCGGUAUCACUCCCUUAAAGGGGUGCUAAUACCGGUUAGUCUCUUCCGACCAAAGAUUUCUUGCCUCUGGAUGGGCCCGGGUUGGAUUCGCUAGUUGGUAGGGUAAAAGCCUUCCAAGGCGACGAUCCAUGGCUGGUCUGAGUGGAUGAUCAGCCACACUGGCACUGAGACCCGGCCCAGUCUCCUAGGGGAGGCAGCGGUGGUGAAUAUUGGACCCUGGGCCCAAGCCUGAUCCAGCCAUGCCCCGUGAGUGAUGAUGGCCUUAGGGUUGUAAAGCCCCUUUACCCGGGAUGAUAUUGACAGUACCGGGCGAAUAAGCUCUGGCUAACUCCUUG